This 453-nucleotide ribosomal RNA is filed under the name uncultured bacterium. RNAcentral describes it as "bacterial SSU rRNA". It matches the Rfam family "Bacterial small subunit ribosomal RNA", at positions 330 to 793 of the family's 1533-position model. The record is from RNAcentral.
GCCAGACUCCUACGGGAGGCAGCAGUAGGGAAUUUUCGGCAAUGGGGGGAACCCUGACCGAGCAACGCCGCGUGAACGAAGAAGUUAUUCGUAAUGUAAAGUUCUUUUAUCAGGGAAGAAAGAGGAAUUUGACGGUACCUGACUAAGAAGCCCCGGCUAACUACGUGCCAGCAGCCGCGGUAAUACGUAGGGGGCGAGCGUUAUCCGGAUUCACUGGGUGUAAAGGGAGCGUAGACGGCCAUGCAAGCCAGGGGUGAAAGCCCGGGGCCCAACCCCGGGACUGCCCUUGGAACUGCAUGGCUGGAGUGCGGGAGGGGCAGGCGGAAUUCCUGGUGUAGCGGUGAAAUGCGUAGAUAUCAGGAGGAACGCCGGCGGCGAAGGCGGCCUGCUGGACCGCGACUGACGUUGAGGCUCGAAAGCGUGGGGAGCGAACAGGAUUAGAUACCCGCGUAA